GUCAUACAUGAUAAAUAAAUGUAAGACAAAGACUACAAUCAGUACCAUAAAAAAGUAUAUCAUAGACAUGUUUGAUCCGAGACGGAAGGUUCCAGAGUAAGUGACAACUAAGCAGAGAUCUUAAAGAUGUGGGAACACCUACAUGUCUAUGUUCAGAAGCUGCCUUGAUGCCACAUGCGGGAGGCUGGAAACGCUGAAGGAUGACCACUGCUCAGCAGCAGUCUACCAGUGAUGGAUGAGAGUUGGUGCACAAAUACCCCAGCUCCCUUGCCUCUCAGUUUGGAUAAUCCUGAAAAGACCCAGCAAGAAAUGAUUCCAAGAUCACCUAG
RNAcentral lists this long non-coding RNA (329 nucleotides) under Homo sapiens (human). RNAcentral describes it as "non-protein coding lnc-PCSK9-4:1". The record is from RNAcentral. Lineage: Eukaryota; Metazoa; Chordata; Mammalia; Primates; Hominidae.